This 200-nucleotide ribosomal RNA is filed under the name uncultured eukaryote. Its description in RNAcentral is "partial 18S ribosomal RNA". It matches the Rfam family "Eukaryotic small subunit ribosomal RNA", at positions 588 to 796 of the family's 1831-position model. The record is from RNAcentral.
GCUCCAAUAGCGUAUAUUUAAGUUGUUGCAGUUAAAAAGCUCGUAGUUGGACUUUGGGUUGGGUCGACCGGUCCGCCUCUGGUGUGCAUCGGUCGUCUCGUCCUUCUGCUGGCGAUGCGCUCCUGGCCUUAACUGGCCGGGUCGUUCCUCCAGCACUGUUACUUUGAAGAAAUUAGAGUGCUCAAAGCAAGCCUACGCUC